This 54-nucleotide ribosomal RNA is filed under the name Phlebopus portentosus. RNAcentral's name for it is "partial 18S ribosomal RNA". The stretch from base 1 to 42 matches the Rfam family "Eukaryotic small subunit ribosomal RNA", at positions 1790 to 1831 of the family's 1831-position model. Lineage: Eukaryota; Fungi; Basidiomycota; Agaricomycetes; Boletales; Boletinellaceae. The record is from RNAcentral.
CGUAACAAGGUUUCCGUAGGUGAACCUGCGGAAGGAUCAUUAUCGAAAGCACAA